AUGGCAUCCCCAUCGGAUGCUCAUUCCGCCACUAGCGGCGGCGGCGCGGCGGCUGCUAAACAAGACCUUGGCGAUAUCUUCAAUCAACUGGAUCUCAAUGACGAUAACUUUGAUGAUGUCGAGAUUGAUGAGGAAGAUCCAGAGAUCAAUGAAAGCGUCAGGUGGCUUGCCCUAGCGAGGGUACACACUGAAAAAAAAUUCAGUCAAUCAGCAUUCUAUAAGGAUAUGCGUGCGGCUUGGAAUCCAGCGCAAAGGGUACGGUUCCGACCGGUUGGACCGAAUUUGUUCGUCGUCCAAGCAUCUUUCUUGGGGGACUGGGAACGUAUGAUGAGGCAAGGGCCCUGGUUGUUCAGUAACUGGGCUGUUUUGAUGUGUCCAUAUGAUGGGUUCAGUAAAACAGAGGAAAUCGACAUUGUUCAUAUGUCGAUCUGGCUA
RNAcentral lists this ribosomal RNA (435 nucleotides) under Triticum aestivum (bread wheat). RNAcentral describes it as "partial small subunit ribosomal RNA". The record is from RNAcentral. Lineage: Eukaryota; Viridiplantae; Streptophyta; Magnoliopsida; Poales; Poaceae.